RNAcentral lists this long non-coding RNA (818 nucleotides) under Malus domestica (apple). Its description in RNAcentral is "long non-coding RNA (MDOM_LNC007490)". Lineage: Eukaryota; Viridiplantae; Streptophyta; Magnoliopsida; Rosales; Rosaceae. The record is from RNAcentral.
UGAGAAUUAGGAAAUCAUUAUAAAUCCUACGGGAUGAUUUAAUUAGAUUUACGACUAUGAGUAGUAUUAUGUUAACUAGAAUUAUCGGAUUAUUGUGGCAUGAAUAUAUUUAUGUUAUCUGCUCAUUGUGUGCUACAUUGGUGUCGGUACUUGCUCGGGCCAGAGCCAGGCUUCACGUGUAGGUGCCAGUCCUGUCCUAGAUUGCUAUAGGCAAAUAGGACUUGUAUAUGAUGCGCAUAGCGCCAAUCUUUACGUGAUUGUAGUAUUAGAGCGUAAAUUAUUAUUACAUCCAAUCUUGUUCAUGUCAGGAUAUUUUUGUAUAAACUCGUGUGUUAGCAUAUGUCGAUGAGCACUCAAUAUGAUAUGUUUGUCUAUACGAGAUUAUGUAAUUAUCGGAGGUUAUCUGUUUAUUUAUGAAAUAUUUUGACGUGUUGAACUAUGGAGAUAUUGUAGGCUAUGGUAAGUAUUUUCAUACUAUACGUAGUAUGUAUAUUUUGGAAACUAUACUUAUUUUACUGCAAGGGGUUAUUAUGUUUUUGAAAAGGUUUUUACAGAGCUUUAUUUUUAGGUCCACUCACCCUUAUUUUUCGCCCUUCCAGGUUUUAAUAGUAGAGCUUUCGUGUCGACGAGGACUUUCUAGCAAAACGUUGUUAUGGAAAUACUCCUGACGGUAUCAAUCUUAUCCUACCUUACUGUACUUAUGCUCUGACAUCACGUGUGAAAUGGGUUCAUUCUCGCUCACAUGUGCACUCCUACCUUUAGGCACUUUUAGGUUUAAAUUUAUUCCAUAUUUUCCACAUCACUACACUUUAUGGCUU